This 484-nucleotide ribosomal RNA is filed under the name uncultured bacterium. RNAcentral's name for it is "partial 16S ribosomal RNA". It matches the Rfam family "Bacterial small subunit ribosomal RNA", at positions 30 to 507 of the family's 1533-position model. The record is from RNAcentral.
AUCGAACGCUGGCGGCAGGCCUAACACAUGCAAGUCGAGCGGAUGAAGGGAGCUUGCUCCUGGAUUCAGCGGCGGACGGGUGAGUAAUGCCUAGGAAUCUGCCUGGUAGUGGGGGAUAACGUCCGGAAACGGGCGCUAAUACCGCAUACGUCCUGAGGGAGAAAGUGGGGGAUCUUCGGACCUCACGCUAUCAGAUGAGCCUAGGUCGGAUUAGCUAGUUGGUGGGGUAAAGGCCUACCAAGGCGACGAUCCGUAACUGGUCUGAGAGGAUGAUCAGUCACACUGGAACUGAGACACGGUCCAGACUCCUACGGGAGGCAGCAGUGGGGAAUAUUGGACAAUGGGCGAAAGCCUGAUCCAGCCAUGCCGCGUGUGUGAAGAAGGUCUUCGGAUUGUAAAGCACUUUAAGUUGGGAGGAAGGGCAGUAAGUUAAUACCUUGCUGUUUUGACGUUACCAACAGAAUAAGCACCGGUUAACUUCGUG